CCGAAGCUACGGCAUCAGUAAUGAUGGGUAGGGGAGCUUCCCAUACGGGUUGAAGCAUGACCGUAAGGACAUGUGGACAGUAUGGGAGUGAGAAUGUUGGCAUGAGUAGCGAGAUGUGGGUGAGAAUCCCACAGGCCGUAAACCCAAGGUUUCCAGGGGAAGGUUCGUCCGCCCUGGGUUAGUCGGAACCUAAGCUGAGGCCGAAAGGCGUAGGUGAUGGACAACAGGUUGAUAUUCCUGUACUACCGAUAACCAUUUGAGAGAAGGGAUGACACAGUAGGAUAAGCUAAGCACACUGUUGGUUAUGUGUGCCCAAGCAUUGAGGCAGUCAAAGUAGGCAAAUCCGCUUUGAUAAUGCUGGGAUGUGAUGGGGAGCGAAAUUUAGUAGCGAAGUAG
RNAcentral lists this ribosomal RNA (396 nucleotides) under Clostridioides difficile. RNAcentral describes it as "partial 23S ribosomal RNA". It matches the Rfam family "Bacterial large subunit ribosomal RNA", at positions 1194 to 1593 of the family's 2925-position model. The record is from RNAcentral. Lineage: Bacteria; Bacillati; Bacillota; Clostridia; Peptostreptococcales; Peptostreptococcaceae.